AAUCCGCCGGCUGGCGCCCCUGGAAUGGGGAGGUCGGCCGCCUGGCGGGGCCAGCGGUCCUUAGCGGUGCCUUCUCUCCCCUCUUCCCUCCGCUCCUGCUGUGCGGGAACUGGAGAAUCGUUAGGACGUGGAGGAAGCAGAGAAGUGGAUCAGAGAACAGGAGGGCUGGGAAGAGUCCUGGUUUCUCAAUCCUGACUGAGCAUCUGAAUCACCUGAGAAGCUACUAAAAUGCAGAUUCCCCGACCCCAUCCCCUUAGAGUCAGAGUCUGUGCAUUUAGGGUGCGGCCUUUCUCAGAGGGAUCGACUGAGACCUACUGAACCCUAGAAGUCUUUACCUGAGGCAGUUCCUGCAAUGUACUGUAUAUUUCAUGACAUUCCAUGUAAAAGAUGACAAGACCGAGACCGUUGAGUGACAGAGAUAAGAACUGACUUAUCUAAGGCUCCACAGGUGGUAGAUGGCAGAGCCGAGACCUGAGCCAAUUAUCUUUUCUCCUGCACUGUGCGGGGUAAUACAGCUCGUUUAAAACAAGCUGGAGUCUCCAUUCCGUUUUCCGCGUUGCUUCUCACAACUCACUGUUAGAAUCCAGAAGUAAGAGAACCCGGGGAAGCGUAAGGAAGAUGAAUAGGACAAAGAUUCUAAGAAGGUGGGAAGGAAGAAGGCUGCAGUCUAUUUCAAGUCUGGUGAAUUUCAAUCACUGUAGCCUUUAUUGUUAUUUUAGAGCCACCUAGACCAAAAGAGAAGGAGCUCAAAUUGCUGGUAAGUGCUUAGAUAGAAAUUCCCUUGACUGACUUUAUAGAGAUCUUUAAAGCGUUUUUAAUUGUAGAAAAUUGGGAAAAUUCAGAAUAGAAAGAUGUUCUUUUUUUUUUGAUGCUGAGUUUCGCUCUAUAUUGCCCAAGCUGGAGUGCAGUGGCGCAGUCUCGGCUCACUGCAUCACCGAACUCCUCGUCUCAACUGAUCUCCCUCCUCAGCCUCCUGAGUAGCUGGAACUACAGGCAUGAGCCACCACACCUGGCUAAUUUUUACUUUUUUUGUGUGGAGAUGGAGUUUCCUUAUGUUGCCCGGGCGGGUCUUGAACUCCUGGGCUCAAAACGAUCCACCUGUCUCUGUCUCCUGAGUAACUGGAACUACAGGCGUGAGCCACUGUGACCGUUCAGUUUAUUUUCUUAUAGUAUUCUGACUUUGUGUGUGUGUGUGCAUGUGUGUUUGUAUUUAUAUUUUUUCCUGUUUCCCAAAUUGAGAUCAUAUGCAAUAAGGCAGCUGCUUUUUUCACUUAAUGUUAGGUUGUAAGCGUUUAUUAUACCAUUAAAAUUUUUUUCCAGGUUUCCCAUAUUAUAUAUCUAACCUAAGAGCAAUUAAAUAUGUAAGUAAGGCAAAUUGCAGCAUCUUGAUGCCUAAUUUUUUAAUAAAGUAAGAUUGCUGAAUUUUUUUUUUUUUUUUGGACUAUGCAGUUCUGGUCUCAGGAGUCAUUUAAUUCCUUUCUCCUCUAUAAUCUAUAAUUUGGGUGUGUGUAUAGUCAGGGAUGGGGUGAGAAAGAAGUAAUUAUUCUUGCCAAUUAACCCAAAACAUAAUAUAGAAUAUGAAAUGUCUUUAUUUCCUUCAAUCCCUCUACCCACCCAGAAUGAUGAAUCUGUUUUGUGCUGUUUUAUGUGGACAUAAACACUGGACUAUUUUAUAGGAGACCUGGUCUAUAAAUGAAAAUAUUAUUGCAUUCAGUAGGUAUUGAGUGCCUACUAGAUAGAUGUCAAAUGUUAGGUUAGGACUAUGGUGGGGAAUAAAAAUCCUUUAUAGACAAUGACUCAUCCUCAAGUUACUGCCUUACUAUUUUCUUCAUCAGCAGAGCUUUAAUUUAGUGUCCUCUUGUUCUGUCAUUCACUCCUUAGAUUACAACAAUUUGGUUUCUACCUCCACCAUCCAGUAACAAUUAUUUUGUCAAACCCAAUACCUUCUCUCAGCUGGCAUCUUACUCAGUAUUUGACAAUAUUGACUGUUCUUCUUGACUUCUUUUCCUUCUUUGGCAUGUAUAUCAACUUCUUUCUGAUUUCUCGUUGACUUCUCUCCUUUUACCCAAUUCUCACAUGUUCCUGGCCACCGUUUUUAUAUGUUCACCUUCCUCUUGUCUCUUCUAUUUGUGCAUUCUGUUUACAGAUUAAUUCCAAAAUACUGCAUUCAUGUUUAAUUCCAGAUUUCUUCUGGAUGUUUCCACUGGAUGUCCAACUAAAAAUCACCAUUUCCCCAGCAAAACCUGCCCCUUUUACUGUAAAAAUCUAAUAACUACAUCGUUGUUCACUCAAUUACUCAUGCUAGAAACCUUGGAUGCAUCCCAACCAUGCCUUUCUGCCAGUCAGUCACCAAUCCUGUUGAUUCUACAGCUGAGAUAUUUGGAAUUCUUCCCUCCCUUAUCAUUCCCAUUACCAUUGCCUUGUUCAAGUCCUUAUCAUCACCUACGUGAACUAGUAUUGCAAUGGCCUUUUAAUUGUUCUCCUCACUUCUAUGCUCUUUACACUCCAGACCUUCUUCCUUCCAUGACUCCCUGUUGUGUGUAGCAGCAUGAAUGAUGGCUAAUGUUCACACAUAUAACCUCAGAUUUAUGGGUCAAAUUUCUGGGUCUCCUUUCCAUUUAAUAUUUAUAUAAAAAUAUUUAUAUAAAAAUAGCUCAAAUCCUUUUCCCAGCACACCAUCUAUAUUAUUGAUGGUGGCAGUAAGGAGUUUCCCCUAGCCACUUCUAGUUCCAACUUACUUUUGAAUUUCCAAUUUUACUCUUAUUAUUUGACAGUUAUUUCUCUCCCAAACGAGGAGUAUUUUUUGUUAUUGUUGUUGUUGUUGAAGACAGGGUCUUGCUCUGUCGCCUAGGUAGGAGUGCAGUGGUGCGAUCUCGGCUCACUGCAACCUCCGCCUCCUGGGCUCAAGGGAUUCUCCCACCUCAGCCUCCUGAAUAGCUGGGACCACAGGUCGUGCCACCACACCC
This 2966-nucleotide long non-coding RNA is filed under the name Homo sapiens (human). RNAcentral describes it as "HSALNT0316091". Lineage: Eukaryota; Metazoa; Chordata; Mammalia; Primates; Hominidae. The record is from RNAcentral.